AUCAAAUUUAUAUAAAUAUUAAUUAUUUAUAUAUAUUAAAUAUAUAAAAGAAAUUAUAUUAAUUAAUGCGAAGUUGAAAUACAGUUACUGUAGGGGAACCUGCAGUGGGCUUGAUAAUUAUCUUUAAUAUUCUUCCAAUAAUAAUAUAAAAUAAUAAUAUAAAAUAUAUAUAUAUUAUAUAAAUAUUAUCAUAAUAU
RNAcentral lists this ribosomal RNA (197 nucleotides) under Naumovozyma dairenensis. RNAcentral describes it as "partial small subunit ribosomal RNA". The record is from RNAcentral. Lineage: Eukaryota; Fungi; Ascomycota; Saccharomycetes; Saccharomycetales; Saccharomycetaceae.